UUUGGCGACAACAUCUUUAACAUUGGUUUUCUGAGUGCCACUGAAGUUCAAGAAGUUGAUGGUGCUAUUACCUUGUGUCUCGAUAUUCUGUUGUGGGAGGUUGAUGAACUUGAUCCGGUGUGAUAUGGAUGAGUCCGCGAAGGACUCAAUGUAGGCAUCAAUGGGGUCUGAGCUGAACGGAAACUUCAUGAUGAGGACAGUGAUUAAGAGUCGGUCAUCUCGAGACAGGAGGAGCUUUGCCAACUCCACCGUCGACACGAGGUGGCCAAUGCCUGGGGAUGGGAUGAACACUAUCUCUACCCAUUGCUUCAUUUUGGGAGAUUUAGACGGGGUGCGUAAGAGUUCUCUGAAGAAGAUAUAAUUUGUGUGAAGGUAUUGCAAUGAAAAGCUAAGCUGAUAGAGAUGUCUAUUUAUAUGAAUAUGCAUGUGGUUAGAUGGUGCUAAAUUAAUUUAGAUAUCACUAAAACUUCAUUAUUUGUCUCCCAAGAUUUAGGUGAUGUCAUGCCUUUGCUGUCAACUGCCAAAUGUUGUUUCUCUUGUUAAUUCAUUUACCUUGCAGUUGAUGCGAAGCUUCAUAGAUACUCAUGUAAGAAAAAUAGGGACAUCACAUUAUCCAAAACGCCUUGGUUGGCACGAAAUCCACGAAUGAUGUAAAAGUAGGAAAGUGAUUUAGUUUUAUUUUCAGAAAAAUAUUAAAUGUAAUUUGUUCAGUUUCUAUCCAGAACGGAAACCCGCUUUGAAAUUAAAGUAUGAGGCUUCUUAUUUAGUUCACUUUGAAGUCACUUUUUCACAUUUUUACUGUUCAAUGUCUAGAAGAUAGUGUGUAGAUUAUUUCUGCAAAUUUUCAAUUAAUUUAGAGAUCAUUUGGAUAUCGAAUUAGAUUAAAUGAAUCAACAGAACAAAAUCUGUCAAAGCAUAACCUUUUGUGUAAUGUACGAUUAUAGAAGCUGAAAUGAUCUUCAAAUUGGAUGAACCUUUGCAUAAAUGAUCUACACACUAUAUGUUAUAGACAUUGAAUGGUGAAGAUAUAGAAAUGUGACUUGAAAGUGAAACAAAUAAGUUAGGAGUCUCAAAUUUUAAUUUCAAAACUAGGUUAUGCUCUAGAUAUGAACUAGUAAAUUUGUUUUGGUAUUUCUAUGGGGAUGUUUAAUACAUGUUGGAAACAAAAUACUAGUAUUAAUUCAUAUUGUAGUGUUUGGUAAGUCAUAAAAAUGAAAUACAAAAUUUUAAUUUUCAAUAACGCCCCUUCAUAAUCUCCAAAUACAUAAUUAAAUUUUUAGAUGGAUAAUAGAAUAUCCACCCCUAACAAGAUAAUUUAAUUAAAGCUUUAUGAGGGAGUCAAUUUCUAGUCGGAUCUAUUUUUUUGUUUCCUUUCCAGUUUUUAUUUACAACCAAUCAACCUCUUAAUAUAGAAAACCAUAUUAAUUCCUAUUGCAUACCAUGAUUUCCUACCAACCAAAUGGGGGCCUUAAAGAAUUAUCAGAUGAGUUCAUAUUAGGUAAAUAACAGAAUUAUAUGAUUAGAAAUCCUAGUUAUUCUCUAAGGUAUAUAUCUAUUUAAGUAGGAGACUUGUGUAUUGAUAACCUGAUCGACAUGAAGGUAUUGUGAUAUAUAUGUUUAGAUGUUAUUCUGAUAAGGAUGAAAUCAUUACAACUAGGACUCCUUAUUAGUACAAAUUGUGAUCCUUGGCCAAUAUAUUAACAGAUGAAACAGAUGAAAGUCCCCAAGUUCAACACAGUUCCUUGCAUUCAUAUCAGUCUCAUUCUGCAGCAAAUUCAUGUUGAAAUUUAGAAGGCUAUCUCUCGAUCUCGCUGACUCAAUGGUAGGAUUUGCAGCACGCGCUGACUAUGGAUGCUCAAGCCUUGGAGCACUUGGAUCUGAAGGAGUUAGUUAUCCUAUUGGAACUAGGAAACUCCCAACUGUAUUGUUUCUGGUUUAAUUUGAGUUGUAUGAAUGUAUUUGUGAUUGUGUAAAAUGAUGACCUUGCAGUUCAGUUUUGCUAUCCGAUGGCUCACAUUGAGCUAGAGGUGGUUGAGAAAUAUAAUCAUUUUAAAGAACUUAGACAAGAAUUUAAACUUGUGUAUAAUUUUUCUAUAUUAAUAAUCAGUAUUCAAUCUAACGCACAAGCAGUUGUUGUACUUCGAGAAGAGGGAUCGGGGUCCUCAAGAGUGGAAUGAAUUUGUACGUGACCUUUACGAAAGUUAAACAUCAUAUUUAAGGUUUGAUUGGUCUCCAGUCAAAUUACGUAGGAGAAUUGGAUAUGGGAUUAUGAUAUCUAUGAUACAGAUGAUUUGUCUGUUCAAUUUGUAGAGCAUCUCGCUUACUAAACAUAGCUAGAGACACGAGCAGUAUGUUAAAACAGUACAGCUAGCAUGCACUUUUCAAACAGAAAAGAACUAUCCACCAUGUUCACAUAUCAUAAGAAUGAAACAGUACUCUCAAAUUCAAUCAUGAAGAAAUAUAAUAUGACACACUCAUUGGUAGUUAAUGAUCAUAGAACAAUAUGAAAGCUUUCCGAUCCCCAAAUCUGAUCAUAAGCUUUAAAUUUGAUCAAUAAAGUGUCCUAACGAAGCAUAUGAGGAACCCCCAUCCAUCAAAGCUUUCUUGCUAUUAUCACUCACUUGUCUCACUCUCUUCCUUAUAUCACUAUCGAGCUCCAUCAGCUCCUUUAUUCCACGCUCAAUUUUCUCUGCGGUCACAACAACCGGACCCUCCUCCCUAUAACUCAUAUCAAUUUCCACGGCUAUCCCUAGUUCCUUCACUAGCUGGAAUGCAUUGACUUGCUGCUCGGCAUACAAGGGCCAAGUGGCAACCGGGACUCCGAACCACAAGCUCUCCAGAGUUGAAUUCCACCCACAAUGGGAGACGAAACCUCCAACUGCUGGAUGUCCUAGGAUGGCAACUUGUGGCGCCCAGCCUAUAACUUUUCCGACUCCCGCCGUCCGAUCAAGGAACCCUUCAGGUAACACUCCUGUGUGAUCGGCAUAGUCGCUGGGAACACCAUUCUUUCCCUUGGGUGGAGGCUGACGUAGUGACCACAGAAACCGAAACCCUCCCUGCUCCAACGCGCAGGCAAUCUCUUUCACCUGGUCUUCGCUGAAGCUUCCCAUGCUCCCGAAGCACAGAAACACUACAGACGAUGGAGGCUGAUCAUCGAGCCAAUUCAAGAUAUCAGACUUCUGCUUCGAAUUCACUUGAUCAUUGUUGUCAUCGCUCUUCAGGUUGAGUAUGGGUCCAACCGGAUACACAGGAGGGAGCUUACCAUCAGAACUGAGAGAAAGAAGGGCAUGCGACUCCAGCUCUGUGAAUGUAUUGAUCACAAUACCCUUGACAUCUCUAAGCCUUUUGGCUAUGUUGACGAACCUGUUGCUGGCCUCCUUGUCGAAGAAGACACUUGGUAAGACUCUAGCAGCAGGCAAGGGAUGGGAGUAACUCGGGACCACCAAAUCAGUAGCCGAGUCCUUGAACUCAAUGCAGUGCUUGUUGUGAUCAUCACGAAGUGCUUGAAGGUGGAACAUGAGCCCGAGCAUGGCUGCGCCGGACGUGAAAAACGCGUAGGUAGGAACCCCCAAUUCGUUGGCUACGUCGAUCAUAGAGGUACAAAACAUGUCGAUGACAAACCCGGCGAGUCGAGUCUCGGUCUUGGACUCGAUGAGUUUGACGACAACAUCUUUAACGUUCGUUUGCUGACUGUCGAUGAAGUUGAAGAAGUUGAUGGUGCUAUUACCUUGUGUCUCGAUAUUCUGCUGUGGGAGGUUGAUGAACUUGAUCCGCUGUGAGAUGGAAGAGUCCGCAAAGGACUCAAUGUAGGCAUCAAUGGGGUCUGAGUUGAACGGAAAUUUCAUGAUGAGGACGGUGAUGAAGAGUCGGUCAUCUCGAGACAGGAGGAGCUUUGCGACCUCC
This 3903-nucleotide long non-coding RNA is filed under the name Fragaria vesca (wild strawberry). Its description in RNAcentral is "long non-coding RNA (FVES_LNC003243)". The record is from RNAcentral. Lineage: Eukaryota; Viridiplantae; Streptophyta; Magnoliopsida; Rosales; Rosaceae.